CCCUUAGAUGUUCUGGGCUGCACGCGCGCUACACUGAAGCGUUCAACGAGUAUUCACCUUGCCCGGGAGGGUUGGGUAAUCUUUUGAAAACGCUUCGUGAUGGGGAUAGAUUAUUGCAAUUAUUAAUCUUCAACGAGGAAUUCCUAGUAAGCGCGAGUCAUCAGCUCGUGCUGAUUACGUCCCUGCCCUUUGUACACACCGCCCGUCGCUACUACCGAUUGGAUGGCUUAGUGAGACCCUCGGACCGAUAGGCUGUCGCCGCGGCAACGUGGCGACCGGCCCGUCGGGAAGAAGGUCAAACUUGACUGUCUAGAGGAAGUAAAAGUCGUAACA
This 333-nucleotide ribosomal RNA is filed under the name uncultured eukaryote. Its description in RNAcentral is "partial 18S ribosomal RNA". It matches the Rfam family "Eukaryotic small subunit ribosomal RNA", at positions 1470 to 1796 of the family's 1831-position model. The record is from RNAcentral.